Non-coding RNA from Triplophysa rosa, 442 nucleotides. The record is from the annotation of a RefSeq genome assembly. NCBI's taxonomy places the organism in Eukaryota, Metazoa, Chordata, Actinopteri, Cypriniformes, Nemacheilidae.
CAACACAACACAACACAACACAACACAAUCUUCAUCACCACACAAACCAACAAGAACAACAAUGACUUUCAGCAUCAUCUUCAUCUGGACACUCACAGUGUUUGCUCAAGAGUGUAGAGGACAGUACACUGUUACUCAGAGUCCAUCAAUAACAGCAGUUCAACCAGGACAACAUGUUCAAAUAAACUGUAAAGUCAGCAGUGCAGUAUACACAGAUAGUUCGGGUCCCCGAAUGAGCUGGUACUUACAGAAACCUGGAGAAGCUCCUAAACUCCUCAUAUAUCUCGCAUCAAACCGCCAGUCUGGAGUAUCAUCUAGAUUCAGUGGCAGUGGAUCAAACACAGAUUUUACUCUGAGCAUCAGUGGAGUUCAGACUGAAGAUGCAGGAGAUUAUUACUGUCAGAGUGUACACUGUCCUAGUAGCUGUGUGUUGACACAGUGA